GAUGAACGCUGGCGGCGUGCCUAAUACAUGCAAGUCGAGCGAACGGACGAGAAGCUUGCUUCUCUGAUGUUAGCGGCGGACGGGUGAGUAACACGUGGAUAACCUACCUAUAAGACUGGGAUAACUUCGGGAAACCGGAGCUAAUACCGGAUAAUAUUUUGAACCGCAUGGUUCAUAAGUGAAAGACGGUCUUGCUGUCACUUAUAGAUGGAUCCGCGCUGCAUUAGCUAGUUGGUAAGGUAACGGCUUACCAAGGCAACGAUGCAUAGCCGACCUGAGAGGGUGAUCGGCCACACUGGAACUGAGUCACGGUCCAGACUCCUACGGGGGGCCGCAGUAGGGACUCUUCCGCAAUGGGCGAAAGCCUGACGGAGCAACGCCGCGUGAGUGAUGAAGGUCUUCGGAUCGUAAAACUCUGUUAUUAGGGAAGAACAUAUGUGUAAGUAACUGUGCACAUCUUGACGGUACCUAAUCAGAAAGCCACGGCUAACUCCGUG
This 497-nucleotide ribosomal RNA is filed under the name uncultured bacterium. Its description in RNAcentral is "partial 16S ribosomal RNA". It matches the Rfam family "Bacterial small subunit ribosomal RNA", at positions 28 to 507 of the family's 1533-position model. The record is from RNAcentral.